AAUCAGUUGAAGCCGGUGUGAGCUUUGGACGUUAAUCCCACCCCCGGGCGGUUGGUUGCAGAGUUUCUGGCUUCUGCCUCACUCCUGUGAAAACUUUCUGGAAUGACCCACCCGAGUUCAGGUCGGAUACCCAUCCACCGACUCAGGCUUCGCUGAACUGUUGAGCAACCAGAGAGGUGCAAACUGCAAUCCAAAGUUAAAAAUUUAACUUCAGAACCACUUUCAGACCUGUGCCUGAGAAAUGAAAGGGUGGCAACAAAGAAAUUAGAUGCUGGAGUUCUGGUUCCACUGCUUCUCUGUCCUGGAGACACAAUGUGUGCAUGUGUCAUAAUCCAGGAGUUUGCUCCUGCCUUGUCACUGACAGCGUGAAAGGAAAAUUUCAGAAGAGAGAAAUACAAGUAUAAGAUGGAAUUCCUCCCAGGACUGGGGUUGACAGAUGUCUGCAGCUAAUAAAGAUUGAAAACUACUACUGUGCUAUGGGAUAGAUGAUGGGUAUGAUCACCACAACCACCACUUUGGAACAGAAAAAAACUUGGGCUCUCUGUGGCUCUAUAAGGCAUUACCAAAAACCCCACUGAAAAUUCCCUCAAGCUUUUUGGCUACAAGGAAAUCAGCCUCUACCCUAAAACUCCACUCCCCCUGAGUGGGCAAACAAUCAGAAUAUAGCACAUGUGAAUAGACGGCCACCACAAAAAAUGUGGAGCUGCCAGUUGCAAGCAGGUGCCCAGCAUUGCCCUACAAUCUAUGUUAUCUUUUUCUUCAAUUCACUCUUACCUUCUACUAUGGCUUUUUCCACUUUCUCCUCUCUCCUUUAUCUUAUAUCAUCCUUUCUCAAAGCAGAUAAACUUAACUCUUACACCCAAAAGAAGUAAGUUAUCACAAUAGAUUUCCCGCAGUCAAAUGCUGUAUACAAGCUUAUUCACAUUCAUAUCAACGUUUUACUUCUUCCAUUGUGUAAAGGGAGAGAUUUACCUCCUCCCAUACCUUCACUACACAGGUUCAAUCUCCUUCUGUCUUCUCAGUUUCUCAUUUUAAUUAUUCCCUCUCUUUUUUGUUGUUAAUUUAUCUCUCCUCUCCGUCCCCACCCCAGCUCCUUUCCCAUUUUAAAAAUAAGCAAAUGAUCCCCAAAACCACUCUCACCUCCAUAGACAAUGUUAGCUAUAGGCUUUCCUGCCCUUUACAGCAAAGCUUUUGGAAAGAGCUGUCUACAAUCACUGUCUCCAUUUCCUUACCUUCCACUUUCUGCCCAACAUAUUCCAGUCUGUUUUUACGCACUGCUCCACGAUUUUCACCAAAGUCAAUUAUGACAUCUUUGCCAUUUUUUCUGUCCUCAUACUGCUUGACAUUUAGCAGCAUUUGACCCUGUGACCACUCCCUUCUCUUCGAAAUUCUCUCUCUUAGCUUCUGUCACAUUACUUUGCACUGAGGUUGGUUAGUUGGUUGUUUGGUUGGUUUUCCAUUAGCUGUUUCUUCUCAGUUCUCUUUGCUAGCUCCUUUUCUCCUUACCUAGCUUUUAAAAGUUGGAGAGUCUCAGGGUUCUCUCCUAGACCCUUUGCUGACUCUACACUUUUGUUACUUGGAGCUCUCACCCACACUCAUUGCUUUACUUACUGCCUUACAUGCAUAUGGUUCCUCUAUCUAUAUAAUUAACCAGGUCACUCUUCCAAUUAUAUCUAACUGCCUAGCAGAUGCCAUUUGGAUGUAUAACAUGUAUAAAUGAAAAUUUUUCUCUUUUUGUGCCUCCUAAUCUUGUUCCUCCUCCAGUGUUCCCUCUUUCAACACACGGGUUCCUCUCCUCUCAGUUGUUCAUGUGAGAAACAUGGAAGACAGUCUUGAACCUUACCUCUCCCAUCACCCCUGAAAUGUAAGGCCUGUUAUUUCCGUCUCUCAAGUACGUCUCUUGAAGGCUUAAAUUUCUCUGCAACCUAAUUGACAUUGCUUCCUUGCCUAAGCCAAAGUCUGGCACCUAAACUCCAAGAAUAUAAUCUUUUCUGGUUUCCCUAUACUCUUCUGGCCCCUUUCCAUUCCACUCUUCAAAAUGUAGUUAGUGUUUGUUUAAAAACACGGAUCUCACCAGGCCUCUUUUAAAAACCUUCAUUGGCUCCCCAUUACCCUUAGGAUAAAGUACAAUUUUGUUUUGUCUUUUUGACAUGGCUUACAAGACAUUCCACAUCCUGACCUUCAUCUGAUACCCUCUACUGCACACGUUACAUGUUCCAGCCACACCAGACUUUUUUCAGUUUUGAAAGGAGCCUCUACUUCUUUUGCUGCUGGGUCUCAAACAUGCUGUUCCCUCUGCCUAGGACAUUCUUUCAUAGUACACACUUUUUCCAUUUACCUAUUAGCUCCCUAUUAUAGAUCUCGGUAUAGAGAUCGAGAUAUAGUAGUCUUCUAUGUUCCCAGAGCACUUUCUAAUGCAUUUAUCAUUUGUUGGAAUAUCUUGAUUAUUAUAAAGUAUUUGACAAAUGUCUAUACUGCUUAUUAGAAUCUAUGAACAUAAAGGCAAAGACUAUGUCAACCCUCUUCACCACUGUAUCCUCAGCAUCUAACGUAGUACCUGGAACAUAAUGAUCCCUCAAAAGUAUUUGCUGAAUAAAAUGCUUUUUCUAU
Molecule: long non-coding RNA, 2610 nt
Organism: Pongo pygmaeus (Bornean orangutan)
Lineage: Eukaryota; Metazoa; Chordata; Mammalia; Primates; Hominidae
Exons: 3
Source: RefSeq, a predicted model, not a curated record